GAUGAACGCUGGCGGCGUGCCUAAUACAUGCAAGUCGAGCGAACGGACGAGAAGCUUGCUUCUCUGAUGUUAGCGGCGGACGGGUGAGUAACACGUGGAUAACCUACCUAUAAGACUGGGAUAACUUCGGGAAACCGUAGCUAAUACCGGAUAAUAUUUUGAACCGCAUGGUUCAAAAGUGAAAGACGGUCUUGCUGUCACUUAUAGAUGGAUCCGCGCUGCAUUAGCUAGUUGGUAAGGUAACGGCUUACCAAGGCAACGAUGCAUAGCCGACCUGAGAGGGUGAUCGCCCACCCUGGAACGGAGACAGGGUCAAUACGCCUACGGGAGGCAGCAGUAGGGAAUCUGCCGCAAUGGGCGAAAGCCUGACGGAGCAACGCCGCGUGAGUGAUGAAGGUCUUCGGAUCGUAAAACUCGGUUAUUAGGGAAGAACAGAUGUGUAAGGAAAUGUGCACAUCGUGACGGUACCUAAUCAGAAAGCCACGGCUAACUACGUG
Molecule: ribosomal RNA, 497 nt
Filed under: uncultured bacterium
Lineage: Bacteria
Description: partial 16S ribosomal RNA
Rfam family: Bacterial small subunit ribosomal RNA
Source: RNAcentral